UGGCGAACGGGUGAGUAACGCGUGAGGAACCUGCCUCAAAGAGGGGGACAACAGUUGGAAACGACUGCUAAUACCGCAUAAGCCCACGGGUCGGCAUCGAUCUGAGGGAAAAGGAGUGAUCCGCUUUGGGAUGGCCUCGCGUCCGAUUAGCUAGUUGGUGAGGUAACGGCCCACCAAGGCGACGAUCGGUAGCCGGACUGAGAGGUUGAACGGCCACAUUGGGACUGAGACACGGCCCAG
Molecule: ribosomal RNA, 240 nt
Filed under: uncultured bacterium
Lineage: Bacteria
Description: partial 16S ribosomal RNA
Rfam family: Bacterial small subunit ribosomal RNA
Source: RNAcentral